AAUUUAAAGAUUUAUUUUUUUUGUAUUAUUGUUCAAAAUAUUGUUUAUUUUAUUAAUUUUAUUGAAAAAAUUUUUUUUAUUAUAGAUAAUUAUUACAGUUAUGGAACGUUUAAAAAUUAAUAUAAGAAAUUCUAAUUUAGUGUACCUUUUGUAUCAGGGUUUAUUAAUAUAAAAUUUUUUAUUAAUUUUUCCCGAAUUUAUAGGAGUUAAUUAUAUAUUUAUUUCAAUGUUUCAUAAUUGUUUAAAAUAUGUUGUUGGAAAUUAAAUGUUAUUCGGUUAUAAAUAUAUCUGGUUCUUGUAGAAAUGAAUUUAAUUCGCGUGUAUAAAGGGUUAAUAAUAAUAUUUUUUGUUCUUUUUAUAUGUUUAAGAUUUAAAGGGAUUAGCUUUUAAAGGUUUUAUAAAUUUGGAGAUUUUAAUUGAGUUGUAGGAUUAGAAAUUUUCAUCAUUUUAAUUAUGUUAUAUUUUGUCUAUUUAGUUUAAUAUUUUCUUUGUAUUUAAGUUUUUUAUUCAAGAUUUAAAUUUAAUUUUUUUAUUUAAUUUAUAAUGGUAGAAUUAGUAAAACUUUUUGUUUUUU
Molecule: ribosomal RNA, 574 nt
Filed under: Anthrenus verbasci (variegated carpet beetle)
Lineage: Eukaryota; Metazoa; Arthropoda; Insecta; Coleoptera; Dermestidae
Description: partial large subunit ribosomal RNA
Source: RNAcentral